UUUAAUAUGGCAGAAAAAGUGCGAUGAAUUUAAGAUUCAUGAAUAAAAUUAUUUUUUAUUAAAA
RNAcentral lists this transfer RNA (64 nucleotides) under Hylaeus dumetorum. RNAcentral's name for it is "tRNA-Leu". Lineage: Eukaryota; Metazoa; Arthropoda; Insecta; Hymenoptera; Colletidae. The record is from RNAcentral.